UGCCCGUGCCGAGCAAAUUUCGGCGGCCAUCUUUCUUCUCUUCCACUUUGAAUACAGAAUAUUCCAUUUUUAUCAAACAAAAUAAAAAAAUAAUAAUUAUAAAACAAUUAAAAACAGUUAAUUUAUUUUUUAUUUAAAUCUUCGUCUGAAAUUUGUUCAAAUCGCUUCAUAUAAUGGCCGCCGCCGAAACAUCGAUCUCGAACCCCCCUCCUAAACAUACGUCAGCAGGUGGGUUCGAGAUUGAACGCACCUCCUCGUAGCCAAUAGGAAAGCCGCUAAUACGCUAGGUAUGAGAUAAGAGUUCAAGUCAUUUUGUCUAAAUCCAAGUCAAGUCACAAGUCAUUCCGAGUGGCAAGUCAAUUCACAAGUCAUUUUAUCGCCACAUGUGGCCAUGUUUUCCCACGCAAAACGGCAAAAUAUGUAAAUAUGGCGUCGUUAUUUUAUGUCAGAAAUUUUACCACGAAAUCGCGAAAAAAACCCCGCUUUAUCAGAAAAUACGCCGGCACAAAUUCUGUCGAUGCCAUUGAUAUGUACUAAGGUCGUUGCCCAAAUUGUACAACACGACGAUCGAUCGAUCAACACAAAGAUUUUGGAAAACUUGAUUUUCACUAGAUAUUGUUUGACUUGCGUUGGUAACAAGUCAUUUCUUGCAAGUCACAAGUCAUUUUGUCCAAGUAAAGUCACAAGUCAUCAGUCUCUUUAACAAGUCAAGUCACAAAAAUUGCGACUCGA
Paramuricea clavata is the source of this 732-nucleotide non-coding RNA. The record is from the annotation of a GenBank genome assembly. Lineage: Eukaryota; Metazoa; Cnidaria; Anthozoa; Malacalcyonacea; Plexauridae.